Molecule: ribosomal RNA, 701 nt
Filed under: Rhodanobacter sp. L26
Lineage: Bacteria; Pseudomonadati; Pseudomonadota; Gammaproteobacteria; Lysobacterales; Rhodanobacteraceae
Description: bacterial SSU rRNA
Rfam family: Bacterial small subunit ribosomal RNA
Source: RNAcentral
UGCAAGUCGAACGGCAGCACAGCAGAGCUUGCUCUGUGGGUGGCGAGUGGCGGACGGGUGAGUAAUGCAUCGGGACCUACCUCAACGUGGGGGAUAACGUAGGGAAACUUACGCUAAUACCGCAUACGUCCUACGGGAGAAAGCAGGGGACCUUCGGGCCUUGCGCGGUGAGACGGACCGAUGUUCGAUUAGCUAGUUGGUAAGGUAAUGGCUUACCAAGGCGACGAUCGAUAGCUGGUCUGAGAGGAUGAUCAGCCACACUGGAACUGAGACACGGUCCAGACUCCUACGGGAGGCAGCAGUGGGGAAUAUUGGACAAUGGGCGCAAGCCUGAUCCAGCAAUGCCGCGUGUGUGAAGAAGGCCUUAGGGUUGUAAAGCACUUUUAUCGGGAACGAAAUACCAUGGGCUAAUAACCGAUGGGGCUGACGGUACCCGAGGAAUAAGCACCGGCUAACUUCGUGCCAGCAGCCGCGGUAAUACGAAGGGUGCAAGCGUUAAUCGGAAUUACUGGGCGUAAAGGGUGCGUAGGCGGUUAGUUAAGUCUGUUGUGAAAUCCCCGGGCUCAACCUGGGAAUGGCAAUGGAUACUGGCUAGCUAGAGUGUGUCAGAGGAUGGUGGAAUUUCCGGUGUAGCGGUGAAAUGCGUAGAGAUCGGAAGGAACAUCAGUGGCGAAGGCGGCCAUUCUUGGGACAACACUGAC